UACAGUAAUUGCAAUUUUAAUGACGAAUUUCUCUGUAAUGACCGAAUCAUGAAAUCGUCUUAGGAUGAUAAAACGUCAAAAAUGCUAUCAAAAAUGCGCGAGAGCUGGAAAACGCCGGGAGCAUUGCGAAAGAAUUAGUAAUUGUAAAGGCAUAUAAGGAUUUAAGAUCAAAUCAAAGAAGCAAAUGUCAAAUGAGUCGAUGCAGGAACCCUCCAGAACAUCAUGUCCUA
Belonocnema kinseyi is the source of this 230-nucleotide long non-coding RNA. RefSeq lists it as uncharacterized. The record is from RefSeq and is a predicted model, not a curated record. NCBI's taxonomy places the organism in Eukaryota, Metazoa, Arthropoda, Insecta, Hymenoptera, Cynipidae. The transcript is spliced from 3 exons.